RNAcentral lists this ribosomal RNA (289 nucleotides) under Klebsiella quasipneumoniae subsp. similipneumoniae. RNAcentral's name for it is "partial 23S ribosomal RNA". It matches the Rfam family "Bacterial large subunit ribosomal RNA", at positions 745 to 1031 of the family's 2925-position model. The record is from RNAcentral. Lineage: Bacteria; Pseudomonadati; Pseudomonadota; Gammaproteobacteria; Enterobacterales; Enterobacteriaceae.
UUGAAGGUUGGGUAACACUAACUGGAGGACCGAACCGACUAAUGUUGAAAAAUUAGCGGAUGACUUGUGGCUGGGGGUGAAAGGCCAAUCAAACCGGGAGAUAGCUGGUUCUCCCCGAAAGCUAUUUAGGUAGCGCCUCGUGAAUUCAUCUUCGGGGGUAGAGCACUGUUUCGGCUAGGGGGUCAUCCCGACUUACCAACCCGAUGCAAACUACGAAUACCGAAGAAUGUUAUCACGGGAGACACACGGCGGGUGCUAACGUCCGUCGUGAAGAGGGAAACAACCCAGA